Molecule: unclassified non-coding RNA, 268 nt
Filed under: uncultured fungus
Lineage: Eukaryota; Fungi
Description: partial contains small subunit ribosomal RNA, internal transcribed spacer 1, and 5.8S ribosomal RNA
Rfam family: Eukaryotic small subunit ribosomal RNA (bases 1-73)
Source: RNAcentral
ACAAACUUGGUCAUUUAGAGGAAGUAAAAGUCGUAACAAGGUCUCCGUUGGUGAACCAGCGGAGGGAUCAUUAUCGAGUUUAUAACUCCCAAAACCCCCUGUGAACCUACCUCGUACCCUCGGCGGAUCACCGCGCCCCGUAACACGGGCGGGCCCGCCAGAGGACCCCCAAACCUCUGUAUUUACUGGUAUCUUCUGAGUGAACAAACAAACCAUUAAAACUUUCAACAACGGAUCUCUUGGCUCUGGCAUCGAUGAAGAACGCAGC